Molecule: long non-coding RNA, 1715 nt
Organism: Calidris pygmaea (Spoon-billed sandpiper)
Lineage: Eukaryota; Metazoa; Chordata; Aves; Charadriiformes; Scolopacidae
Source: Ensembl
AAACAAAAAGACCCUUUUCAACAUUCAUUGUAAAGUUCAGCUUCUCUUGGAGAGCAUCAAACGCUGCUGUGGCUGUGAGAAGGAAGGUGAAAUAGAACUGGCAGAUGAGAAUGGCCAAGUGAAGAAUUUGCUCCAGAAUCAGGACCAGUACGCAUCACAGCUCCUGAGUGAGAGGGAGUUUUGUGUUUUACUCAAAGUCACACGUAUGUACAUUUGCAAAUCUCUACAUUGGAGAUGCUUUUGUUUUCCGUUGUAGCUAAAGAAAUACCCCCACACAGGUGAAGGUUGAAAGUUGAAGAGGAUUUUCACCCUGGAUUCUCAGCUUGAGUCUCUGUGCAUCCUUAGCUCCACUCAGAGACAGUGGGACCUAAUGAUGUUGAAAUUAGGGCUGCUUUUGAAAACGGUGUAGUGGAAGUCAGGAUUCCCUCCAUGUGUGACAGAGAUUCCCUCACAGUCCCAGUUCUACCUGCAGGAAAUGUCCUUCUGAAAGUUUCUGGGUUUAAUACUGUGUUUCUAUUCCUCACAGGACAUGAAGGUUCCCAAGAAGCUGUUUUUACACCACUGCUGAAAGAUCACAGCAUCGUCACUCCAAAGUUCUUGGGUAGGUUACCUGAGUGGAUGUUUCUAUAACCUUGUUCUCAGACAUGAGAGGAGAGAAAACCAUCAGUUGUGCUUCUAGGGUAGGAAUAAAAGCCUGAAUUAAAGAAGAAGGGGGUUAAUUUGUAGCCAAAAUGGGAAGUCUUUCUUUCCAGAACUAGAAAAAAUAAACCUAACUUCUUUCUUGUAAGAAGAAAAUGCUUGUUAAUAUCAUCCAUUGUGCAUACCAUGGAAGUAAAAUAAUUACUUGUGCUCUUCUUUUAUCAGUUCCUUUUUCUUUUCUCUCUGCAGCUAAAUUGGGGAAGAGGGAAGAUUCAAAAGUAUCACCUACCAGAGUGAAAUCCAGAAAAUAUGGCAAACAAGCAACCUUGCCUUUGGAAGUUCCACCCACAGAAGGUAAAAGGAGUCAUUCACCACAGGGCAACAAGAAUAAAACUGUGGCUUCCUCUUCCAAAGAAACUGGGAAAUUCUAAUCAUGGCAAAUCAAAGGAGUUGCUUGGUACUGAGUUUUGGAGGCUAUCUCUAGGCAUGUUAGUUUAUUCCUUGAUGAAACACACAAUUUGUUGGGUUUUUUUCCAAAAGUGUGAAGUAGUAAAUGCCUCGUUUCUUUGAGAAAAGAAUAGUCUCACUGAAAUAGUUGAUCAGUGAGUCACUUUGAAGCCAGGUACAUGUUUAAUAACUUUGCCAAAUGAAGCCUUGGUUCUUGCAGACACUGGGCUGUUGUUGAAUCACGGAAAUUGGCAGAAGGACAAGCUGCAAUGCCGGGUUGGUUCAUCUUUAACUCAGUAGUUUUACUUUUGGAAUUAUUGAAGUAGUCAAUUAACACAUCCAUAGUACUUUCAUCUCAACUUUUACCUGACCAGCUUCUUUAAAUAACUUUGUAGCUCCUUGGGUGGGUCGUAUCUUACACGGACUGGACCCUGGUCCGUCUUUCACAUACCUGUUGAAUCAUCAGUCCUCCUGAUUUGUUGUGCUAAGUACUUGUAUAUGUACAGCACAAUGAGGAACGUAUUAAAGCUGCAUAUAAAGUUUUAGAUAAUCUUGUAAAAGCUAUAGAUGAGUCUUUCUUUUUCAAGGUUCCUCUUAAAAAAAUAAAAAAGGGCUGUAAAAUCUAAUCA